Molecule: long non-coding RNA, 248 nt
Organism: Galeopterus variegatus (Sunda flying lemur)
Lineage: Eukaryota; Metazoa; Chordata; Mammalia; Dermoptera; Cynocephalidae
Exons: 2
Source: RefSeq, a predicted model, not a curated record
CUGUUUCUCUGGAGGACCCUGACUGAUACACUGGCAAAGCCCAUGUGGAAAGGAACUGCCUUCAGCUGACAGCCAGCAAGAAGCCGGAACCCUCACUCCUAUACCCAAACCUCCAGAUGAGAACACAGUCUGGGCGACAUCUUGAGUACAGCUUUGUGAGACCUUGAGUAGAUCCAGCUAAACCAUGACUGAACUUCUAACCCAUAGAAACUAUGAGAUAAUAAAUGUAUGUUGUUUUAAGUCAUUAA